RNAcentral lists this unclassified non-coding RNA (245 nucleotides) under air metagenome. RNAcentral describes it as "partial contains small subunit ribosomal RNA, internal transcribed spacer 1, and 5.8S ribosomal RNA". The stretch from base 1 to 46 matches the Rfam family "Eukaryotic small subunit ribosomal RNA", at positions 1786 to 1831 of the family's 1831-position model. The record is from RNAcentral.
AAGUCGUAACAAGGUCUCCGUAGGUGAACCUGCGGAGGGAUCAUUACCGAGAUAGGGUCCCCCCGGGGCCCGACCCUCCCACCCCUGCGUACCUACCUCUGUUGCUUUGGCGGGCCGCGGGGCCCCGGCCCCCCGUCGACCCCGGUGGACGAGCGCCCGUCAGAGACCCCCCCAACCCCGCUCACCGUGACGUCCGAGCAGCGAUGCAAUAGCUAAAACUUUCAACAACGGAUCUCUUGGUUCUG